Non-coding RNA from Stegodyphus mimosarum, 73 nucleotides. The record is from Rfam. NCBI's taxonomy places the organism in Eukaryota, Metazoa, Arthropoda, Arachnida, Araneae, Eresidae.
GCCUUCGUGAUGUAGUGGUCAGCACGCUCGACGCGUAACUGAGAGGUCCGUGGUUCGAUUCCUGACGAAGGCG